Acanthosepion pharaonis is the source of this 113-nucleotide non-coding RNA. NCBI's taxonomy places the organism in Eukaryota, Metazoa, Mollusca, Cephalopoda, Sepiida, Sepiidae. The record is from the annotation of a GenBank genome assembly.
AUACGGCCCUAGCCCGUUGAAACACGGGCUCUCAUUAGAUCACCGAAGUUAAGCAACAUUGAGCCUGGCCAAUUCCUAGGUAGAUGACCGCUUGGGAAUAUCAGGUGAUGUAA